UCUCCGUUGGUGAACCAGCGGAGGGAUCAUUACCGAAGUUACCCUUCAAAACCCAUUGUGAACCUUACCUCUUGCCGCGCGGUUGCCUCGGCGGGGAGGCGGGGGUUGGGUCGGCGCGCCCCACAGCGGCCCGUCGUCCCCGCCCCCGUCCCCGCCGGCCGCGCCAAACUCUAAAUUUGCAAAGCGGACUGCAUGUUCUGAUUUAAAAGAAAAAACAAGUCAAAACUUUCAACAACGGAUCUCUUGGUUCUGGCAUCGAUGAAGAACGCAGCGAAAAUGCGAUAAGUAAUGUGAAUUGCAGAAUUCAGUGAAUCAUCGAAUCUUUGAACGCACAUUGCGCCCGGCAGCAAUCUGCCGGGCAUGCCUGUCCGAGCGUCAUUUCUCCCCUCGAGCGCGGCUAGCCCUACGGGGCCUGCCGCCGCCCGGUGUUGGGGCUCUACGGGUGGGGCUCGUCCCCCCCCGCAGUCCCCGAAAUGUAGUGGCGGUCCAGCCGCGGCGCCCCCCUGCGUAGUAGAUCCUACAUCUCGCAUCGGGUCCCGGCGAAGGCCAGCCGUCGAACCUUUUUUACUCAUGGUUUGACCUCGGAUCAGGUAGGGUUACCCGCUGAACUUAAGCAUAUCAAUAAGCGGAGGAAAAGAAACCAACAGGGAUUGCCCCAGUAACGGCGAGUGAAGCGGCAACAGCUCAAAUUUGAAAUCUGGUCCCCUUUGGGGGCCCGAGUUGUAAUUUGAAGAGGAUGCUUUUGGCGAGGCGCCGUCCGAGUUCCCUGGAACGGGACGCCGCAGAGGGUGAGAGCCCCGUACGGUCGGACGCCGAGCCUCUGUAAAGCUCCUUCGACGAGUCGAGUAGUUUGGGAAUGCUGCUCAAAAUGGGAGGUAAACCCCUUCUAAAGCUAAAUACCGGCCAGAGACCGAUAGCGCACAAGUAGAGUGAUCGAAAGAUGAAAAGCACUUUGAAAAGAGAGUUAAAAAGCACGUGAAAUUGUUGAAAGGGAAGCGCUUGCGACCAGACUUGCGCCCGUCGGAUCAACCGUCGCUUGCGGCGGCGCACUCCGGCGGGCUCAGGCCAGCAUCAGUUCGCUCGGGGGGAGAAAGGCGGCGGGAAUGUGGCUCCUCGGAGUGUUAUAGCCCGCCGUGUAAUACCCUCGGGUGGACUGAGGACCGCGCGUAUGCAAGGAUGCUGGCGUAAUGGUCGUCAGCGAC
This 1202-nucleotide small RNA is filed under the name Scopulariopsis flava. RNAcentral's name for it is "eukaryotic LSU rRNA". The stretch from base 577 to 1202 matches the Rfam family "Eukaryotic large subunit ribosomal RNA", at positions 1 to 648 of the family's 3401-position model. Lineage: Eukaryota; Fungi; Ascomycota; Sordariomycetes; Microascales; Microascaceae. The record is from RNAcentral.